CUAAAAUGGGCUCAACAGCAACGUUUCCGAAAAAAGGCUCAAGACCUCUUGAGCCCUUUUCAAAUGUUUGUCCAGAAUUAUUCAGAGCCUGCACUUCAGAUCUUGAGAACACACUGCAGUGCUAUCACCUAUCUGUUUAUGACAAUCAUGAUAUAACAUAUCCCUAUAUGUUUUGAACUCAAGAAUUGUCGACGGUCUUUUAAGGUACUUGCUGUCGGUAGAAUCUGAUAAGUAUUCCACCUAUGAUGUUCUAUGAGAUAUUAACUGAAAGCUUUUUUUUCUAACUUGUCAUUGUUGCAUUCGAAUAUCGUGUGUUGUGUCCGGAGACAUAUGAGAAGGAAAUAGACUGCAAGCAUAUCUUAAGCUUUCAAAAUGUAUUGAACAAUAUACUAGCAUCCACGUGAAUGGAUCUAAAACUUAGAGUUUAAUAUCCUUGAUUGGAUAAUUUGUGAACCUUUGUUAAACGCACAAUUGUCCGAACCCCCUUUGUUCAGUGAAUCGCACAUCAACCAACAAAGCAAAAAUAGCCAUUCAUAGGUACCACAUAAUCGCCCGAACUGAGACAUCUUUGUUUUAGCUAUAUUCUACUAAUAUAUACCACCACCACCACAGAAUAAAUAAACCCAUAUAUAGGUGAACAACACAAAAAGAACAUACAAGCUAAAUGAAUAUAUAAAAGAGGUGAAAAAUCAAUGAUAAUAAAAUGAAAUGUUAACAAAUUUUUGAAGGUUUUUCUUAUUUUUAUUUUUUAUUGACGAAUAACGAAGUGAAAAAAACAAGUAGUGGAUAAAUAUUAAAGAGAAGUAAGAAUAAAUCGUAGCUGCAGGUAUGACUUCUAUCACAAAUGGUUGAAAAUGAAGAAUUCUUUUACGGAAGUCAAACGCAAGAACAAAAAUACACUGCUUCUGUCCAGGAAGAAACUUUCAUGGAGAUACUUCUCUUUGAAACCAAACAGAGAAUAAGCCAAGAAAUAAGUAGAGCAUCUACAGAAUAGAAAUGGUUAAUGUUGAAACUCAAUUCAACUAUCGAAACCUUUCAUCGUUUUUACGAGUGUGUCAAUUGUUGAACUUUUCCUCCGUUUCAAACGCGAACAAAUGGUACAUAUCUUAACCUCGUUUAAUUUAUUCGUCGUUCCUUCCCUACUAAUAUUAUUAGAUGUUUGUGGCCUAGCCAAUUUAAAUCAACGCUCUCAAACAAGCCUAUUGGAAGCAAUCGUUGAGUUCUCCAAGUUCGUUGACUUCGUUUCUAUAUGCGAAGCAAGCAAGCAUACCUAGUCAAUACGAAUAAUUACAAACAACAACAAAAACAUGAGACGAAAUGAAAUCGAUGGUAUUCGCGACAUUCAGACGAAAAAAAAAUCAAACACUGCUUCAUUGUAGCGAAAGUAACAAAUGUAUAUAUUAUUAUCAAUACAAAUGAAUGAUAAAUGAGCAAAUAACACAAUGUUCAAAAUAAUGAGCGUGUGUGUGAACAAAACAUUUCAAAUGAGAAAGCCAAUUUCUCCCGUCCAUUCCACGAAAUUGUUUAAACAAAGCCGAGCAGGAUAAAGGAAAACCAUGAGAGCUAUAAAACAACAUUGAGAGAAAUAGACAAAAAAUCAGAAUACUUCUUUAAGCUACCAGUCCAAGCAUAAAUUUUCAACACUCAAACUUCAAACUGUUUUCCAAAACAUUCACUACAAAAAAAUGAAGUCAAGAUUCCGAGUUCCACAAUGAAUUUCGAUCAUUGUAUCUGACAGUUAAAUUACUCUUAAAUCUUUUUUCCCCUUCCUUUCUCAAUCUUUGAAACCGAAUGUAUCUAAAACAAUCUUUCUUACUACCUUGCACUUACACAAAACUACAGAUUAAUCAUACUAUACACCAAAUAAAAAAAACACGACAGCAACCUGAUCAAAGUUUAUUCAAAGCAGAUAUACAACCUAUUAAGGCAAACCAAAACUACAAAUCCGAAAAGUUGAAGCACAAAAUACAUAAAAACACGAAAUAUUUUUUUUUUUUUUUGUCUAAAGUUUGAAAUUGAAAAAUAGUCAGAGGCAAAAUACAAACAAAACAACAAUGAAACAUUGAACAUUACAAUCGGACAGAGCGAACUGAACACAUUGAGACAAACUUACACAUGGGACACAAGCAUGGAGGCAAAGGACGAAGUUUGAAGUGCAGCAAAAUGCGCAAAGCGGAGCGGAGCUCUUCAUCAGGAAGCGUGGCAGAUUUUCGGGAGAGAAUCCGGUACGAGGCGAUGCAUCACUGCAUACUAAUGGUAAAAAUAUCUAGACCCACCAAGCACUAAUUGGUAAAUUGAGCUCAUGGUAUGGAUGAGUUCAGCGUGGAUCCUCUGAGCCACUGCGGUUUUAACUCAGAGACGGGUUGAAAGGUCACCGUAACUGCAAAGACUUCUUGUCCACAGUGACGGCAACAAAUGAACGUUGUGCUUUCGCCACUGUGUCGUUGCAUGCA
RNAcentral lists this long non-coding RNA (2453 nucleotides) under Aedes aegypti (yellow fever mosquito). RNAcentral's name for it is "lncRNA AAEL020972". The record is from RNAcentral. Lineage: Eukaryota; Metazoa; Arthropoda; Insecta; Diptera; Culicidae.